Molecule: ribosomal RNA, 497 nt
Filed under: uncultured bacterium
Lineage: Bacteria
Description: partial 16S ribosomal RNA
Rfam family: Bacterial small subunit ribosomal RNA
Source: RNAcentral
GAUGAACGCUGGCGGCGUGCCUAAUACAUGCAAGUCGAGCGAACAGACGAGGAGCUUGCUCCUCUGACGUUAGCGGCGGACGGGUGAGUAACACGUGGAUAACCUACCUAUAAGACUGGGAUAACUUCGGGAAACCGGAGCUAAUACCGGAUAAUAUAUUGAACCGCAUGGUUCAAUAGUGAAAGACGGUUUUGCUGUCACUUAUAGAUGGAUCCGCGCCGCAUUAGCUAGUUGGUAAGGUAACGGCUUACCAAGGCAACGAUGCGUAGCCGACCUGAGAGGGUGAUCGGCCACACUGGAACUGAGACACGGUCCAGACUCCUACGGGAGGCAGCAGUAGGGAAUCUUCCGCAAAGGGCGAAAGCCUGACGGAGCAACGCCGCGUGAGUGAUGAAGGUCUUCGGAUCGUAAAACUCUGUUAUUAGGGAAGAACAAAUGUGUAAGCAACUAUGCACGUCUUGACGGUACCUAAUCAGAAAGCCACGGCUAACUACGUG